Cydia splendana is the source of this 452-nucleotide long non-coding RNA. RefSeq lists it as uncharacterized. The record is from RefSeq and is a predicted model, not a curated record. Lineage: Eukaryota; Metazoa; Arthropoda; Insecta; Lepidoptera; Tortricidae. The transcript is spliced from 2 exons.
CUAGGUACGUAUUUCAGGAUUUUUAAUAGUACUUAAAUCACACGCAACCCUUUAAAUUAGGGGAUGGAAGGUUGUCAUAAGCAACUUAUAAAAAGAAGUGAAAUCCCACCAAACAUUUUUUAAUGUAAAAUGUUGCCAAGACGAAAUCAUAAGGCUCGCACUGACAAAAAGUUAUCAGAUCUCUUGUAGAGCCAAGCUUCUAACUCUACAAGCCCUAACUUCACAAACUCUACACCUUAGUCAAAAUAUGUGGCUUGGCCGUUUCGUUACUCUAAGAACUAUUGUAUUAUAAAAAAAUAUGAAUAGUGAAUACAUUUUUCACCUUACGUCCAUGUGACAGUGUAGAGUUUGUGAAGUUAGGGCUUGUAGAGUUAGAAGCUUGGCUCUACAAGAGAUCUGAUAACUUUAUGUCAGUGCGAGCUUUAUGGUUUCGUCUUGGCAACAUUUUACAU